GGAGAACACCAGUGGCGAAGGCGGCUGUCUGGUCUGUAACUGACGCUGAGGGGGGGAGCGUGGGUAGCAAACAGGAUUAGAUACCCUGGAAGAAGGGCCGGAAACGAUGAAUGCUAGGUGUUGGAGGGUUUCCGCCCUUCAGUGCCGCAGCUAACGCAUCAAGAUAACCCACUGGGGGAGUACGACCGCAAGGUUGAAACUCAAAGGAAUUGACGGGGGCCCGCACAAGCGGUGGAGCAUGUGGUUUAAUUCGAAGCAACGCGAAGAACCUUACCAGGUCUUGACAUCCUUUGAACAUUUCAGAGAUUGAGCUUUCUUUUUGGGACACAAGUGCAAGGGGGGGAUGGUUGUCCUCCGGUCGUGGUCUGAGAAGGUGGGGUAAGUCUUUUUAUAAGCCCACCCUUAUUAUUAAUUUCCCGGCUUAAGGUGGGCACUCUAGGGGGGCUGGCGGGGGCCAAACCGGAGAAGGGGGGGAUGACCUCAAAAUCUUCUGCCCCUUAUGACCUGGGCUAAA
This 514-nucleotide ribosomal RNA is filed under the name uncultured Lactobacillales bacterium. RNAcentral's name for it is "partial 16S ribosomal RNA". It matches the Rfam family "Bacterial small subunit ribosomal RNA", at positions 701 to 1218 of the family's 1533-position model. Lineage: Bacteria; Bacillati; Bacillota; Bacilli; Lactobacillales. The record is from RNAcentral.